This 301-nucleotide ribosomal RNA is filed under the name uncultured bacterium. RNAcentral's name for it is "partial 16S ribosomal RNA". It matches the Rfam family "Bacterial small subunit ribosomal RNA", at positions 509 to 807 of the family's 1533-position model. The record is from RNAcentral.
CAGUAGCCGCGGUAAUACGUAGGGUCCGAGCGUUGUCCGGAAUUACUGGGCGUAAAGUGUGCGUAGGCGGUUCGUUAAGUCUGUUGUGAAAGCCCCGGGCUCAACCUGGGAAUGGCAAUGGAUACUGGCGAGCUAGAGUGUGUCAGAGGAUGGUGGAAUUCCCGGUGUAGCGGUGAAAUGCGUAGAGAUCGGGAGGAACAUCAGUGGCGAAGGCGGCCAUCUGGGACAACACUGACGCUGAGGCACGAAAGCGUGGGGAGCAAACAGGAUUAGAUACCCGCGUAGUCCCUGUCUCUUAUAC